Long non-coding RNA from Cervus elaphus (red deer), 1450 nucleotides. RefSeq lists it as uncharacterized. The transcript is spliced from 4 exons. The record is from RefSeq and is a predicted model, not a curated record. NCBI's taxonomy places the organism in Eukaryota, Metazoa, Chordata, Mammalia, Artiodactyla, Cervidae.
CCUUUCUGACCCAAGAGCUGGGUUCUGACCUCCCCGCGCCCCUCUCUCCAGCCCCCCAUUCUCACUGGCUAGACCGCGGCGGGGUGUGCGAGGCUGGAGAACAGUAGGCCCUGUCGAGGCGCCCAGGACGGUGCCAGCCUCGCUCGGCAACUGGCAGCUGGUAUUUUUAAAACAGUAUUUGUCCCUCAGCAAGUCAAGGAGGGCGGGGUAAGAGUAAGGACUCCCUUUUACCGACCGGGGAGCGGAGGCGCGCGGAGGUGAAGUGUCUAGCCCAGACAGGAGGCUGGUCAGAACUCAGAGUCUCGGCUCAGGACUUCCCUGGUGGUCCAGUGUUUAAGAAUCUGCCUUCCAAUGCAGGGAGAAUGAUCGCAACUCUACCCAUGGUGGGUGCAGAUGUCAAAGGAGGCUUCCUGGAGGAGGUGACACACCCGAGCAAGACUUGAAAGAUAAAUGAGCCCACUUUAGAGAUAACAGUGAAAGGACCAAGUGAUUUGCCAAGGUCAAGAAGAACACUGAGGAAAGACCAUUGUGGUGCAUACAGAGGCACCGACAGACACAUCACUUGCCCGUGAGACUGUCUCGUUUUUAUUGAGCUGCUUUUGGGAGGAAGUCCUUACAACCUGCAGUCCUUUCCUACCACAGAGGAGAUUUCUGCUGGCUUCCAAGAGGGUUUGCCAGCCUGCCCUGAGCUGGGGGGCUUUCAAAUAGCUUCAUUUGGCUCACUAGCUGGUUGAGGGGAGGCCUGGAUUUCUGGUCACCCCAGGGAUUGGAAAGCAAAGCUGGGCUCGAGGGCCACUGUGAAAAUGGACCAGGAGCCAGGAAAGACGCGGUUUCUGUGUCCCGUUGCUUCAUCAGCAGGAUGCUAAGUGGAUAGAGAAAAGCCUGGGGUCGGGCGUGGAGCACAGUGCGUCCUGGGUUCAAGCGCUGUAUGACCCUGCACGUUGCAGAGCAGCGGUCGGGAAUGCAGGCUCUGGAGCCAGGCUGCCUGGGUUCACAUCCCAGCUUCCCCACUUAAUAGAUCUGUGGGACUUCCCUGGUGGUUCAGCGGUAAAGAAUCUGCCCCCCAGUGCAGGGACUCAGAUUCUAUCCCUGGUAUGGGAAAAUUCCACAGGCUGCAGAGCAACCAAGCCUUGGAGCCCGAACGCUUCAACAAGAGAAGCCGCAGUAAUGAGAAGCCUUCACACCGAAACUGGAGAGGAGCUCCAGCUCGCCACAACUAGGGAAGAGCCGGUAUGCAGCAAUGAAGACAGCACAGCCAAACAUAAAUGAAUAAGAUAAAAUAAAUAGAUCUUGGCCUCGGCUUCACCUCUCUGAGCCUGUUUUCUUAUCAGUAAAAUGGGGGAACAGUAGUUCCCACCCAAAGAUUUUUGGAAGCCUUAUAUGAAUGAAUCAUGUGAUGUACUUAGGAAAAUGCCCAGCAAUAUAGUAAGUGCUCAAUAAAUGCAGUCUA